UACGUAUGGGGCAAGCGUUAUCCGGAUUUACUGGGUGUAAAGGGAGCGCAGGCGGCCUGGCAAGCCUGAUGUGAAAUACCGGGGCCCAACCCCGGGGCUGCAUUGGGAACUGCCAGGCCGGAGUGCCGGAGAGGCAGGCGGAAUUCCUAGUGUAGCGGUGAAAUGCGUAGAUAUUAGGAGGAACACCAGUGGCGAAGGCGGCCUGCUGGACGGUGACUGACGCUGAGGCUCGAAAGCGUGGGGAGCAAACAGG
Molecule: ribosomal RNA, 253 nt
Filed under: uncultured bacterium
Lineage: Bacteria
Description: partial 16S ribosomal RNA
Rfam family: Bacterial small subunit ribosomal RNA
Source: RNAcentral